Molecule: ribosomal RNA, 253 nt
Filed under: uncultured bacterium
Lineage: Bacteria
Description: partial 16S ribosomal RNA
Rfam family: Bacterial small subunit ribosomal RNA
Source: RNAcentral
UACGGGGGGGGCAAGCGUUGUUCGGAAUUACUGGGCGUAAAGGGCUCGUAGGCGGCCAACUAAGUCAGACGUGAAAUCCCUCGGCUUAACCGGGGAACUGCGUCUGAUACUGGAUGGCUUGAGUUUGGGAGAGGGAUGCGGAAUUCCAGGUGUAGCGGUGAAAUGCGUAGAUAUCGGGAGGAACACCAGUGGCGAAAGCGGCUACCUGGCCCAUUCUUGACGCUGAGGCGCGAAAGCUAGGGGAGCAAACGGG